AGUAAGUGGAGGGAGUAGAUGUCACAAGGCCUGUAUCAGUGUAGUUAACCGGCAUCUUCGGAACUGGUGCUGUGAGGUGGGCUUUGGAUUUCAGGACAAUGAGCCAUAUUUCUGGGCUGAGGGCAUAUUGGGGAGGGAUGGAGUACAUCUCUCACCCAAGGGUAAAUGCAUUUUUUCCUCUAGGUUGGCUGAUAUCAUUCAGCUGGCUUUAAACUAGCUUCAUCGGGGGAAGGGGCUGCCCAAAGAGGAAGGGAUGUUUUGCCAACUAGCAAGGCGACAAGAGAAACAGAAACCCAGAAUUUCUGGACAAUCACCUAACAACUUGAGACUCCUACUUAAAAAAAAAAAAAAAGAAAGAUGGGACAAUGACAAGAAUAUUGGAGUGAAUCAAUUUAGAAGAAAAAUAAAAUCCAGGAACUGGCAUUUUCAAAGAGAUAUAAUGGCUAGAUGGGGAAUAAAAAGGUUUUGAAAAAAAAAAUCUGAUGAAAUUAAUACCAUUUCAUGAAUGCUAUAUAGGACUGAUUCUUCUGCACCUGUGUAACUAGGAAGAAAAUUAGGUUCAUAUUUAUUCUUAACUAAUUACUGUUAAAUUAGUCAGAUCACUGUCAGGGAAGGUAAGGAUAUUUCAUCCUAAUAACUAGAACUAAGGGCUCUGGUGGAUGGUUGGAAGCCAGGAGGAGGUCACAAACCAAAGGUCAGUAAUCGGAGAUGCCAAGUCUACUAGGAAGACCAAGAGGCAUAUCCAGUAUAAAAGGCCAGAACCAAGGUCUGUAACCAGGCUAUCAAGCCAAGGGCUCAGACAGCAGAGGCUAAAAGCCAGAACACAAUUCAGCCAGGAACCAGAAUUAGUAGUCUAAGAUUAGGAACCAGGGGACAAUCACCAGGAUCCAGGGUAUGAGGAGGCAAGGGCUGGCAACCAGCAAAAUACAAGGCCAGAAUAUGUGUGCAGAGCAAAGCACUAAUCGCAUAUUUGAAACCCAGCAGCUUGUGCAAAAAAGAUCAGGCACUUAGGCAGUCCUUUAAAUAAGCAGCUAGGAUCAGUCAGGUGGCUGAGAGAGAGAGAGAGUUGUCUUGGAAUCCAGUGGACAUCUAUUAUAGACCUAGAUGGGUUAGAUCAGCAGAAUUUUAGACCCCCCUAUUUCCAGAGAAUAGAGAAGGCAUAGGUCUAGGCCUGCAGUGUUUACUGCUCUGUAAUGAAAUGGGGACUUUGCCAAUGGGUGAGGAGGACAAUAGAUCCAGGUGUAUAAGUGAAUGCCUGGAACAGCAACAAACAGGCAAGGGCCUGUAGCCCAUAGGUUUGAAAUGAGGGAUUCAGAAGGGAACACCAAAACCCCUGACACUGCCUGCCACUCCUUGAAAGUGUCUAGGGAGCUAAGCUAAGACAGUUGAGCUCUUAAAAUUAGGGAGCAGAGACGUAAACAUAACAGUAUCUAAAUCAGGACCCACAUUUUCAUCCUGCACACUCAAGGGAAUACAAUCUGAGAUCCAAAGACUACUUCAAAUGCAAGUUAUGUCAUAAUAAUUCAGUUAUGUUGCCCUGGAAAUCAGUACAUAACCUUUAUGCCAAAAGGCUACAAAAAGGUUAAUUAUGCCAAAUUAUUUUAUGAAAAUGAUCAAUUGUGUGCUAUUCUUCUAUCUGUUAAGUUUAUCCAUCCUUUCUUGUUAAGAUGAGAGUUUUGUCCACCAUUAGAUCUUGACUCAUGGAACAGGGGACUAGGAAGAAAGAGGGUAGACUUGUGGAGUUAAAGCAAAGACAAUGAAACAUCUCAGCUUCCUAGUGUAAGUGGACCUUCAUUUGUAAAGGCUUAGACCAGGGAUGGGCAAAAUACAAUGAAGGGGUUGGAUCAGGCCCACCAAUGGAUUUUGUCUGGUCCAUGGUAGUCCCUCAGUCCCACCCAGCCUAGGUGCAGGGGGGCAGCCCAGGCCAUGGCAUGUGUGGUCAGUCCUGCUACCCCAUACAUGCGGUAGGGCUGGGGUAGUGCAGCGGUGCACUUCCCAACAUCCCUGGUGGUGGUGGCCCCUUCCAGCUGCCACCACUGAUCCCCCUGCCUAGGCACCCUGGCCCAUCCACCCCACACCCACUGCCGGGGGCAGGACCCACAUGGGCAGGGCAUAUGGCCAGGCAGAUGGGAUGGGACCAUGGGUGGGUGGGGAGCUGCUGGGCUGCUGCAUCCUCUGCCCCCCAAAUUGCCCCUCUGACCAAAUUUCUAUGGCAGCCUAUAAGUACAUAAGGGGAGUGCAUCAGAAUCUGGGAGAACAGUUUUUCACCAAUGGUCCCCAAGGAGUAGCAAGGUCCAACAGCCACAAACUCCUAGAAGGCUGAUUUAGAUUGAACAUAACAAAAAACUUCUUCACAGUCCACGUAUCCAGGGUCUGGAGCAGACAUCCUGCCUAUGGCAAGGGGGCUGGACUCAAUCUUGUGAGGUCCCUUCCAGACCCUAAUAUCUAUGAAUCUAUAUGACCCUAUUUCAUUCUUAAUGAAAAACUUUACAUUCCUAAUUUUUUUUUAAGUCUUCAUUAUUCUAGUAGUUAUUUUAUUUAUAGAAGGAAACCAUGAUCAGAGUCUGAUUCUCAAUAGGCAGAGUUGGAACUUGAUAGUUUAGCUGUGGAGAAACCAAAUCCAGAUUCAAUUUUGAACUGAUUUUUCCAAAUUGACCUCCCAUACAAUUACUUCGUACAUCAGGAAAGGGUGGGAGCAGUUUUAUGCUGUUGAAUACUCCUAUAAGUUAUUCAGUCUACACUUAAAUAUUCAGCAGUUUUCUGAUAUUCUGUAAUAAAAUGAUGUACCUUUGCUAACAUGAAGAAAUCACAUCGUAAAAAUACAUUACCAUUGAAGCGACAUUGUGGACUAUCUUACAGCUUCAAAGACAAGUUUAACUGGAGGAUACAUUUGAUUGUACUGUCAGGAAGAAAGAUAUAGUAAAAUAAACAAGCCUUGUCACAAUACAUUUUCCACAAAUACAUCACAGUAAUGAAGGCUUGUCUUUCCUUUCCUCUUCCUGUGGAAAAGGUUCCAUUGGCAGACUAGUCCUCAACACUGAAUAGCCAAAAAUAAUAAACAUUUCUUUUUGUUCAGCAUCAAACCUCAAAGGCUUUCCCAUACCUGUGGUAGCUACUUUUACUGCCAAUAGCAUUUAGUUUGCCUUACUGUUGUGGUGGAAAGAGUCAAUGUACUGGACAUGAUUUGAGCUAAUAUGCUUAGAAAAUGUUCUAUUUUUCUGAUAAAAGGGAGCUUGAAACCACCACUCAUUUUAUACUUAUAAAGUAAUAGGUGACCUCUAGAAAUGUUACUGAGAUAUCUCUGCUCUAAACUGGUACAUGUGAGUUAUAUGGUUAGAUGCUAAAAUGUUCUCUCUUUUUUAUGAAACAAACUCUUCCCAGAGCCACCCAUUAAAUGAGCACCGAACCGUGCUAACCUCAUGUGAUGGCCAGAACCAGAGGGAUUAAUAAGCAAUAAAUAUGUGCUUCUUGGAGGCAUUUGAUAUUUUGGCUUACAGGUAAUAUAAGCUAUUAUAAAGCUUGUAAGUUUGUAACCCGCAAAUGUAACUUGUCUGUUAUAAGUUUAACCAAAAUUAUAAAACUAACUGUUCAUGGAACUGACUGGGCCCCACAGGUGAAGCUGUAACUGCAAGAUUAGCUGACCUAACAGUUUUUGUUCAGGGUUCAGCCUUGACGAUAAAAACUGGAUCCAACCUCCUGGCACACCCAACACAUUCCAGGAAAGCACGUCCCAAGAAAGCAUAUUCAGAGAAACCUAAAAGGGUUGGGCUCAGGCGGAGUAAUAUUAAUUUCAAACCUAAAGAUGCUGCAUUGUAAUUUGCUUGUUGGAUAAACCUCAGUCUAGGUAGUAACCUUUUAUUAUAAAUUUUAACACCUUUCAAUCCCAUAAGGUAACAGCUAUAGGACAAGAUUGUGAGUGGCUCUAAAGCCAACAGAUUAGCAUAAGGCUAGGUAUAAAAAGCAUGUGCGUCAGGUGACCACCAGGAAGGAGGGAACAGAAUGGUCAUUGCUGUUCCAAGCCCGGACUCCAGACUCCCAGUGUGAGUGAGGAUCAGAUCUGGAUCAAGGGACUUUCCCGAUAAUCCCUCUGACAGUGUUGACUGGGGAUGCCUGACUUCACUGGAAUCACUUGGCGCACACCUGGCUUUGAGGGACUAUCGAUAAAUUGCCAACCCAUGUCUGUCUAUCUGUUGUUUUGAACAGCCCAGUGGCUGAUACCCUCACACUGUCCAGUUGGUCUGUGACAGAAUCAAUCCAUCUAUCUGUUGUUAUUAUCUGUUGUUAUUAUUUACUAUUAGCUCUUUUAUACUGCAUUAUCUGCUUAUCACAUUUAUCUUUCUGUUAACUGUUGUAUGUAAGCUAUAAUGAAUUUGCCUUUGCUUCA
Alligator mississippiensis (American alligator) is the source of this 4384-nucleotide long non-coding RNA. RefSeq lists it as uncharacterized. The record is from RefSeq and is a predicted model, not a curated record. The transcript has 2 exons. NCBI's taxonomy places the organism in Eukaryota, Metazoa, Chordata, Crocodylia, Alligatoridae.